Molecule: long non-coding RNA, 208 nt
Organism: Sinocyclocheilus grahami
Lineage: Eukaryota; Metazoa; Chordata; Actinopteri; Cypriniformes; Cyprinidae
Exons: 2
Source: RefSeq, a predicted model, not a curated record
UCUUCUGAACGGGACCCCGGAGCAGAAGAAGAAGCUGAUCAGAGAGUAUCUGACGGGGGAGAGCGAGUCCUCCAGCGGAGAUGAGUUUGAGAAGGAGAUGGAGGCAGAGCUCAGCAGCACCAUGAAGGGCCUGGAGUGCAGCUGGACGGCAUCUUCAGCUCAAGGUCAAGCAUCUGGGACCAGUGACAGCACUUCCACAGCAGACAAG